GACGAACGCUGGCGGCGUGCUUAACACAUGCGAGUCGAACGGAAAGGCCCUGCUUUUGUGGGGUGCUCGAGUGGCGAACGGGUGAGUAACACGUGAGUAACCUGCCCUUGACUUUGGGAUAACUUCAGGAAACUGGGGCUAAUACCGGAUAGGAGCUCCUGCUGCAUGGUGGGGGUUGGAAAGUUUCGGCGGUUGGGGAUGGACUCGCAGGUUAUCAGCUUGUUGGUGGGGUAGUGGCUUACCAAGGCUUUGACGGGUAGCCGGCCUGGGAGGGUGACCGGCCACAUUGGGACUGAGGGAGGGACCAGACUCCAACCGGAGGCAACGGUGGAGAGCAUUACAGAGUGGGCGGACGCGAGAUGCAGAAGCGCCGCGUGCGGAAUGCCGGCCUUCGGGUUGUAAACCACUUUCGACUGUGACGAAGCGUGAGUGACGGUAAUGGGUAAAGAAGCACCGGCUAACUACGUG
Molecule: ribosomal RNA, 468 nt
Filed under: uncultured bacterium
Lineage: Bacteria
Description: partial 16S ribosomal RNA
Rfam family: Bacterial small subunit ribosomal RNA
Source: RNAcentral